AUACACAGGACAGUAGCUGUAGUUUCACUAAUGACCAGGGUUGAUUCUGCCGCUCCAGCUGGCUAACUGGAUGCUGCCUGCCUUCCUCACACGUCGGUAUGUGUCUGUCUGUCCCAAAGCUGAAUGCUUGGCAGAGGAAGAUGGCAUUCCCUGAUAGAGAAAGCUAUUAUUCCACAGAAGGAAUACACAUAACUGUGCUGCCCUCCAAAUAAGCUUGCAAGAAUCAGUAAGUGAAUUAUAUAUUUCUAAAGACAAAAAGAAAUAUGGGCUUCUUAUCCAGAUAGUGAUUU
This 290-nucleotide small RNA is filed under the name Sus scrofa (pig). RNAcentral describes it as "7SK RNA (ENSSSCG00070028025.1)". It matches the Rfam family "7SK RNA". Rfam says of the family: 7SK was discovered as an abundant small nuclear RNA in the mid-70s but a possible function has only recently been suggested. The record is from RNAcentral. Lineage: Eukaryota; Metazoa; Chordata; Mammalia; Artiodactyla; Suidae.